This 69-nucleotide transfer RNA is filed under the name Monetaria caputserpentis. RNAcentral's name for it is "tRNA-Tyr". It matches the Rfam family "tRNA". Rfam says of the family: Transfer RNA (tRNA) molecules are approximately 80 nucleotides in length. Their secondary structure includes four short double-helical elements and three loops (D, anti-codon, and T loops). Lineage: Eukaryota; Metazoa; Mollusca; Gastropoda; Littorinimorpha; Cypraeidae. The record is from RNAcentral.
UUGUUUGAUGGCUGAGCAGUAGGCGGUAGACUGUAGAUCUAUUAACGGAGUUAAUUCUCCUCAACAAAG